RNAcentral lists this ribosomal RNA (498 nucleotides) under uncultured bacterium. RNAcentral describes it as "partial 16S ribosomal RNA". It matches the Rfam family "Bacterial small subunit ribosomal RNA", at positions 28 to 507 of the family's 1533-position model. The record is from RNAcentral.
GACGAACGCUGGCGGCGUGCCUAAUACAUGCAAGUCGAGCGGACGAAUCGAAAGCUUGCUUUUGAUUCGUUAGCGGCGGACGGGUGAGUAACACGUGGGCAACCUGCCCUGUAGACGGGGAUAACACCGAGAAAUCGGUGCUAAUACCGGAUAACACGAAAUGUCGCAUGACGUUUCGUUGAAAGACGGCGCAAGCUGUCGCUACAGGAUGUGCCCGCGGUGCAUUAGCUAGUUGGUGAGGUAACGGCUCACCAAGGCGACGAUGCGUAGCCGACCUGGGAGGGUGAUCGGCCACACGGGGACUGAGACACGGCCCAGACUCCUACGGGAGGCAGCAGUAGGGAAUCUUCCGCAAUGGACGAAAGUCUGACGGAGCAACGCCGCGUGAGCGAGGAAGGCCUUCGGGUCGUAAAGCUCUGUUGUUAGGGAAGAACAGGUAGCGCAGUAACUGGCGUUACCGUGACGGUACCUAACGAGAAAGCCACGGCUAACUACGUG